AUUGAACGCUGGCGGCAUGCCUUACACAUGCAAGUCGAACGGCAGCACGGGAGCAAUCCUGGUGGCGAGUGGCGAACGGGUGAGUAAAGUAUCGGAACGUGCCCAGUCGUGGGGGAUAACGUAGCGAAAGUUACGCUAAUACCGCAUACGAUCUAUGGAUGAAAGCGGGGGAUCGCAAGACCUCGCGCGAUUGGAGCGGCCGAUAUCAGAUUAGGUAGUUGGGGGGGUAAAGGCUCACCAAGCCGACGAUCUGUAGCUGGUCUGAGAGGACGACCAGCCACACUGGGACUGAGACACGGCCCAGACUCCUACGGGAGGCAGCAGUGGGGAAUUUUGGACAAUGGGCGAAAGCCUGAUCCAGCCAUGCCGCGUGCGGGAUGAAGGCCUUCGGGUUGUAAACUGCUUUUGUACGGAACGAAAAGGUUUGGCCUAAUAACACUGGGGGAUGACAGUACCUGAAGAAUAAGCACCGGCUAACUACGUGCCAGCAGCCGCGGUAA
RNAcentral lists this ribosomal RNA (500 nucleotides) under uncultured bacterium. RNAcentral's name for it is "partial 16S ribosomal RNA". It matches the Rfam family "Bacterial small subunit ribosomal RNA", at positions 29 to 523 of the family's 1533-position model. The record is from RNAcentral.